This 924-nucleotide ribosomal RNA is filed under the name uncultured Bacteroidota bacterium. RNAcentral's name for it is "bacterial SSU rRNA". It matches the Rfam family "Bacterial small subunit ribosomal RNA", at positions 1 to 916 of the family's 1533-position model. Lineage: Bacteria; Pseudomonadati; Bacteroidota. The record is from RNAcentral.
GGAUCCAGACUUUGAUUAUGGCUCAGGAUGAACGCUAGCUACAGGCUUAACACAUGCAAGUCGAGGGGAAACGAUAUUGGAAGCUUGCUUCCGAUAGGCGUCGACCGGCGCACGGGUGAGUAACGCGUAUCCAACCUGCCCAUCACUUGGGGAUAACCUUGCGAAAGUAAGACUAAUACCCAAUGACGUCUCUAGAAGACAUCUGAAAGAGAUUAAAGAUUUAUCGGUGAUGGAUGGGGAUGCGUCUGAUUAGCUUGUUGGCGGGGUAACGGCCCACCAAGGCAACGAUCAGUAGGGGUUCUGAGAGGAAGGUCCCCCACAUUGGAACUGAGACACGGUCCAAACUCCUACGGGAGGCAGCAGUGAGGAAUAUUGGUCAAUGGACGAGAGUCUGAACCAGCCAAGUAGCGUGCAGGAUGACGGCCCUAUGGGUUGUAAACUGCUUUUAUAAGGGAAUAAAGUGAGUCUCGUGAGACUUUUUGCAUGUACCUUAUGAAUAAGGACCGGCUAAUUCCGUGCCAGCAGCCGCGGUAAUACGGAAGGUCCGGGCGUUAUCCGGAUUUAUUGGGUUUAAAGGGAGCGUAGGCCGGAGAUUAAGCGUGUUGUGAAAUGUAGACGCUCAACGUCUGCACUGCAGCGCGAACUGGUUUCCUUGAGUACGCACAAAGUGGGCGGAAUUCGUGGUGUAGCGGUGAAAUGCUUAGAUAUCACGAAGAACUCCGAUUGCGAAGGCAGCUCACUGGAGCGCAACUGACGCUGAAGCUCGAAAGUGCGGGUAUCGAACAGGAUUAGAUACCCUGGUAGUCCGCACGGUAAACGAUGGAUGCCCGCUGUUGGUCUGAAUAGGUCAGCGGCCAAGCGAAAGCAUUAAGCAUCCCACCUGGGGAGUACGCCGGCAACGGUGCAACUCAAAUGAAUUGACGG